This 1260-nucleotide long non-coding RNA is filed under the name Vulpes vulpes (red fox). RNAcentral describes it as "lncRNA (ENSVVUG00000019597.1)". Lineage: Eukaryota; Metazoa; Chordata; Mammalia; Carnivora; Canidae. The record is from RNAcentral.
UGUGUGACAGAGGUUCCUAGCAGAACACUUGAAAAGGUAAGCUAAUCAAAAUGAAGACACUGUUAGUUCUCGUCUUCAAGACAGCCUUCUUAAAGAUAGUUCACAAUUACAAGACUCAACCAUUGUCGACAAUUUUAUUUUUCUAUUUUAUGCAGGGCCAGGCUUGGACUAUUAUGAAUGUUGCUGAACACUGUUAAUCAAGCUUACACAGCUAUUUUGAUGGCAAACAAUUAGAACUCUGCAGCUCUACCUUGCAAUUAGCUUCAGGGAUAUGGACCUCAGCACCAUAAUAAUGAAAGAGACCUCCUUCAAGCACGACUUCCAAGCAUUGCUGUUACCAAAUUUCAUCAGCCAACUAUCUGCUGUGGCCUGUCAAACAGAAUCCACGUGCAUGAUCUGGAUUUUGAUUCGGGGAGCGCUUGCAAAAGAAUUAGUAGCAAAACAGGAUCCUGAAAGUUUUUCAAAGAAUCCUUUCAAGAACAACUCAAGUCACUGCAUAUGGCUGCAGUUGGGGCUCACCACAUUUGUUGAUUUUUUUUUUUCCUGCCAAGAAUGGCUACAAUGCAGAAAAUUAGAAGAUGUAGGUGUUUAGGCCACUCACCAGUCAUGAGGAUGUGGACAUUUUUUACAGAAGUUCACUUUUCUUGAUCUGAAAGUGGAGACAAUCAUAUUUUUCCUACUCACAAAAGCCAACUUCCAGGAUGUUACGUUGAUAUAAUACAUGCAAAUAUACAAAAAAUAAUCUAUAAUUUGUAUUAAAAAUAUGCAAGAAAAAUAUACUUCAUAAAUAAGGAAGGUCAUUAUCAAUUCAAAACAGAAUAUUCCACUGAAAAUAAUAGAUUUUUUUUUCUGCUCCUCAACCACUCCUCUGAUUAUUUUUUCUUACUUUCCCUGGCAUCACUCUACUCUCCCCCCAAAAAAAAGAAAAAAGGAAGAAAGAAAAAAAUAAGAAAGAAAAACAAAAAGAAAGAAGAAAGAACAAAAGAAAGAAAAGAAAAAAAAUGCUUUCCUUAUAUGUUUUUGUUUUGUUUUUAGAUUUUAUUUAUUUAGUUGAGAAAGAGAGAGAGAGAGCACAUGAGUAGGGGAAGGGGCAGAGAGAGAAGCAGAGUCCCCACUGAGCAGGGAGCCAGACUCUGGCUUGAUCCCAGGUUCCUGAGAUCAUGGCCUGAGCCAAAGGAAGCCAUUAAAUGACUGUCACACAGGUGUUCUUGCUUCAUUUGUCUGAAUAAAUUUGUGAUGUAACUGCUUGUUAAGAUGAUA